GGCCUGGUAGCCAAGUGGUAAGGCAGAGCUCUGCAAAAGCUCUAUACGCCGGUUCAAUUCCGGCCCAGGCCU
RNAcentral lists this transfer RNA (72 nucleotides) under Nannocystis sp. Its description in RNAcentral is "tRNA-Cys". It matches the Rfam family "tRNA". From Rfam's summary of the family: Transfer RNA (tRNA) molecules are approximately 80 nucleotides in length. Their secondary structure includes four short double-helical elements and three loops (D, anti-codon, and T loops). RNAcentral also lists the same sequence under 2 other names. Lineage: Bacteria; Pseudomonadati; Myxococcota; Nannocystales; Nannocystaceae. The record is from RNAcentral.